AUUGAACGCUGGCGGCAGGCCUAACACAUGCAAGUCGAGCGGAGCGGCGGACGGGUGAGUAAUGCCUAGGAAUCUGCCUGGUAGUGGGGGAGAACGUCCGGAAACGGGCGCUAAUACCGCAUACUAUCAGAUGAGCCUAGGUCGGAUUAGGUAGUUGGUGGGGUAAAGGCCUACCAAGGCGAUGAUCCGUAUCUGGUCUGAGAGUAUGAUCAGUCACACUGGAACGGAGACCCGGUCCAGACUCCUACGUGAGGCAGCAGUGGGGAAUAUUGGACAAUGGGCGAACGCCUGAUCCAGCCAGGCCGCGUGUGUGAAGAAGGUCUUCGGAUUGUAACGCACUUUUAGUUGGGAGGCGUUUCCUACAGAAUAAGCACCGGCUAACUUCGUGCCAGCAGCCGCGGUAAUAC
Molecule: ribosomal RNA, 407 nt
Filed under: uncultured bacterium
Lineage: Bacteria
Description: partial 16S ribosomal RNA
Rfam family: Bacterial small subunit ribosomal RNA
Source: RNAcentral